Molecule: long non-coding RNA, 11330 nt
Organism: Hemicordylus capensis (graceful crag lizard)
Lineage: Eukaryota; Metazoa; Chordata; Lepidosauria; Squamata; Cordylidae
Exons: 2
Source: RefSeq, a predicted model, not a curated record
AGACUUCUUGUGUCGACAUCCAUCAAUUUGUACGCAUCCAUCCAAGUGAUACUACUUUACUGUGGAGUUUGAAGCCAGGGAGUCGAGACAGGCAGUGCAGCAACUGCGGCAGCACCCGGGAGCAGCAGCACCUCUUCGCGCGGCUCUUUUGUCCAUAACUUGUCACCAUGUCCAAGUGGAAGCCUUCCUAUGACAGCAGUCACAAGUACAACACCAAAUGGGAAAAAAACAUUUGUUUGGGUCAAGAAGGCAGCAGAUGGCUCAGAGGACGCUUACUGCAAAUUGUGCCACUGCACCAUUUUGCCAAGAACGAGCAACCUUCACAACCACGAGAAAUUUAUUUUUAUUUUUUAUUUUAUUUUUACAUUUAUAUCCCGCUCUUCCUCCAAGGAGGCCAGAGUGGUGUACUACAUACUUAGGUUUCUUCUCACAACAACCCUGUGAAUUAGGUUAGGCUGAGAGAGAAGUGACUGGCCCAGAGUCACCCAGCUAGUAUCAUGGCUGAAUGGGGAUUUGAACUCGGGUCUCCCCGGUCCUAGUCCAGCACUCUAACCACUAUACCACGCUGGCUCAACAGAAAAGCACAAGCAGAGAGUUCCCUCACAAGGACAGCUGCAACUCAAUGUAACAAAAGCUCCCAGCCAACUUAAUUAGAAGAUUAAAGCAGCAGAUCUGCAAAUAGCUGUGAGCAUGACUUGCCAUUGUGCGAUACGUUCAGUUGACCACAUGACCGAGAUCAUGGCAGCACAAGGGAAGUGGAGCACACUGGAGCACAUAAAGCUACGUAGAACAAAAUGCUCCUGCUUGAUCCAAAAUGUUAUCUCGCCUGCACUUAAGAAAGAGCUCAUUGCAGACUUAAAGGACAAGAAAUAUGCUCUCCUUGUAGAUGAAUCAACUGACCGCAACACAAAGACACUUGUGCAUGCUAGUUCGAUUCUUCAGUGAGAGGAAGAAGGGAAUUGUGACUGAAUUUGUCGGUUUGCUUCCGGUUCAAGAGGCCACAGGAGAAAAUAUCUUUAAUUUGAUUGAUCAGGAGAUAAAAAGAUUUGGCCAGACUCUUGCAAAUUGCAUUGGUUUUGCAUCAGAUGGUGGAUCUAACAUGAUUGGGUGCAACAACUCAGUGUGUUCAGGACUAAAAGAAGAAUCUCCUUCCAGUGUUCAAUUCAGAUGCAUUUGUCAUUCACUGGCACUGUGCAUUCAACAUGCAACAUCCAAGCUGCCAUCAAAUAUUGGAUUUCUGCUGUCAGAAAUACCCCGUUGGUUCCUCAAAAGUGAUUUGAGGCAAGAGGCAUUCAAACAGCUGUUCAGAGUGAUGAACACAGCCACAGAAUUUGCGCCUACCCGAACUGCUCCCCUCCCCUUCAAAAAACCUUCAGCUACACGGUGGCUUGUGUGUGGAAAGGUCAUGUACAACAUUCUGAUGAACUGGGAGGAGCUGAAGGCUUAUUUCACCGCUGCUGAACUAGCCCAAUGCACACCUGACACUAAAUUCAAAGCCAGACUCCUGAAGGAAUUGCUGUGGGACUACAAAAACUACUUAUUCUUUGAGUUUGCAACACCUGUUGUGCAGGAAUUUGAAAGACUGAACAGCUCCUUUCAGCAAACCAAAGCUGACCCUCAUGAUCUGCACGAACAGUUAUUCCAACACCAGAAGAGUCUGCAGAUCAGACUGCAUGAUGCCAGAGGGUAGAAAAAAAAGAUUCAUCAAGUUGAUUUGGGGGUCAAAUUCCUAACAGCUUGUAAUAAGUUCCUGCAGGAGAAUAAGAACAGUGCUGAGGCUCGUCUAGAAAUAGACGAUGUCAAAGGGAGAUGUCUGUCCAUGCUGGAAGAAGCUCUGAACCAGAUCACACAUUGACUUCCAUCAGCCAGAGACACAUUUAGAGGCCUAUCAAAACUGUGCCCUGUGAUAGUCUUGAAUCAAGCUUCAAGGCCUAUGUUUUCAGAGUUGCCAUUCAUACAGCUGCUUGCAGGAAAUGACAUCUGCACAACUGAAGAGUAGUACAGAAAAUUGCCUUUUGUCGAGUGGAAAGAAGAACCUGAAUUCGAGAAAGAUGGACUACCGACAGACACUGAAAAGUUUUGGCUUGGUGUCUUCCAGCAUCUGGCUUUUAAAGAGCUGGCCAACUUCGCCCUGACAUAUUUAUUUUAUUUAUUAUUUAUUUAUUUGAUUUCUAUACCACCCUUCCAAAAUGGCUCAGGGUGGUUUACUUGCCUGACAACCCCUGUCAGCAAUGCUGCAGUUGAGAGGGUAUUCUCCCUCGUAUCCUCUGUGAAAACCAAGGCAAGAAACAGGAUGCAGCUGACGAUCCUUGAUGCCAUAGUCAGAACCAGGUCAGAACUGCUGCUUUCGGGCAAAUGCUGCAAAGACUUUACUGCCUUGCAUCCCAGGAUUUGUAGUUUGUUGGAACAAAAAAAAAAAGUACCAAUCUUGUUUUAUUACUUACUAAGGCGUUUUACAGGUGAAACUCGAAAAAUUAGAAUAUCGUGCAAAAGUUCAUUAAUUUCAGUAAUGCAAAUUAAAAGGUGAAACUGAUAUAUGAGAUAGACGCAUUACAUGCAAAGCGAAAUAAGUCAAGCCUUAAUUUGUUAUAAUUGUGAUGAUCAUGGCGUACAGCUCAUGAGAACCCCAAAUCCACAAUCCCAGAAAAUUAGAAUAUUGUGAAAAGGUUCAACAGUCUAGGCUCCAGGUGUCCCACUCCAAUCAGCUAAUCAAUCCAUAACACCUGCAAAGGGUUCCUGAGCCUUUAAAUGGUCUCAGUCUGGUUCAUUAGGAAUUACAAUCAUGGGAAAGACUGCUGACUUGACAGUUGUGCAGAAAACCAUCAUUGACACCCUCCAUAAGGAGGGAAAGCCUCAAAAGGUAAUUGCAAAAGAAGCUGGAUGUUCCCAAAGUGCUGUAUCAAAGCACAUUAAUAGAAAGUUAUGUGGAAGGGAAAAGUGUGGAAGAAAAAGGUGCACAAGCAGCAGGGAUGACCGCAGCCUGGAGAGGAUUGUCAGGAAAAGGCCAUUCAAAAGUGUUGGGGACUUUCACAAGGAAUGGACUGAGGCUGGAGUUAGUGCAUCAAGAGCCACCACACACAGAUGGAUCCUGGACAUGGGCUUCAAAUGUCGUAUUCCUCUUGUCAAGCCGCUCCUGAACAACAAACAACGUCAGAAGCGUCUUACCUGGGCUCAAGAAAAAAAAGAACUGGUCUGUUGCUCAGUGGUCCAAAGUCCUCUUUUCUGAUGAGAGCAACUUUUGCAUCUCAUUUGGAAACCAAGGACCCAGAGUCUGGAGGAAGAAUGGAGAGGCACACAAUGCAAGAUGCUUGAAGUCCAGUGUGAAGUUUCCACAGUCUGUGUUGAUUUGGGGAGCCAUGUCAUCUGCUGGUGUUGGUCCACUAUGCUUCAUUAAGUCCAGGGUCAACACAGCCGUCUACCAGGAGAUUUUGGAGCACUUCAUGCUUCCUUCCGCAGAUGAGCUGUAUGGGGAUGCUGACUUCAUUUUCCAGCAGGACUUGGCACCUGCCCACACUGCCAAAAGUACCAAAACCUGAUUCAUUGACCAUGGGAUUACUGUGCUUGAUUGGCCAGCAAACUCGCCUGACCUGAACCCCAUAGAGAAUCUAUGGGCCAUUGCCAAGAGAAGGAUGAGAGACAUGAGACCAAACAAUGCAGAAGAGCUGAAGGCCACUAUUGAAGCAUCCUGGUCUUCCAUAACACCUCAGCAGUGCCACAGGCUGAUAGCAUCCAUGCCACGCCGCAUUGAGGCAGUAAUUGCUGCAAAAGGGGCCCAAACCAAGUACUGAAUACACAUGCAUGCUUAUACUUUUCAGAGGUCCGAUAUUGUUCUAUUUACAAUCCUUGUUUUAUUGGUUUCAUGUAAUAUUCUAAUUUUCUGGGAUUGUGGAUUUGGGGUUUUCAUGAGCUGUACGCCAUGAUCAUCACAAUUAUAACAAAUUAAGGCUUGACUUAUCUCGCUUUGCAUGUAAUGCGUCUAUCUCAUAUAUCAGUUUCACCUUUUAAUUUGCAUUACUGAAAUUAAUGAACUUUUGCACGAUAUUCUAAUUUUUCGAGUUUCACCUGUAUAUACUCUUGUCCUAGCUCAUGCUAACUUAAGCCACUUCCUCCCGCUGUAAAGUUUGCAUUCUAGAAAAGUUCAAACAGAGCCAGUUCCAGGUUUUGGAGAAGCCUUGUCAACAUGCCUUUGGUUUGUGGGACCCCAUGUUCCUCCUGGCCGAAAGGUCUCACUGCCUGGAAAGGGAUUCAUCUUGCUUUUACUCUCUGUGGGCGGCUAUACUUAGGAGCAUUCUCCCUUGCUGGGCAAGCAGGAGCUUCUCAAUGCACCUCCCCCACCAGGAAAGAUCAAGCAGAGGGGCUCUACAACCCUCCACUGGCUUGCUUUCUCCAUCACCUGCUACGCUCUCUUGCUUGCCUGUUCUCUCUCUCUCAGAGGACCAAACCUCACCACAGUUCCACUCAGAGGGAGAAGGUAAAUGGAUGGUAAAGUGUCGGCUGCUUGCUUCUUGCUGAUGCUGCCUAUGCUUGCUUGCUCACCCGAGCACUUUCAGCAGGCAGCAUAUCAAAGAGGAGGAGGCCUACCUAUCCGAGGAGACCCCCAAACCCGACAAGAGGGCCUCCAACCCAUGCUGAAGGAUGGUGCUCCUCAGUUUGGUCAGGGGUCAGCCUUGGUGGACUCUCUUUCUGGAUAGUACAGCAGUUGGGUUUGGAGCAGAGAAGACCCCUGUCCUCACUACCAUGCUAUCCAGAGAACAACUGGCAAGCCUUGUCCACCAGUGGACCCAAUCCUAAAUGUCCCAUUGGUUGUCCCUUGUUCACUGCCACCCCUGUUCACUCCCGGAUCUCCUCUGGACUACUUAGCAAUGUGGAGAAUUUUCUGGAUGAUGAUGAUGAUGCAGCUUACUGCUGUGCUACCUAGAGAGAGAGAGUGAUGGGCAGCAGGUGCUCCUGACUGCCUACGACCACUACUCAUCCGCAUUCUCUCAGCAGGCCUAUCCUCACCACCACACUGCCUAGAGGAAGUUGGCAACUGCUCUUUGCCCUCAAUUAAUGAACUAAAUAUUGCAGCCCUAGUUCCAAGGUUUCCAGAGGGCAUCAGUUAUUUGUGUGGUGGUGGUGGUUAAAGGGGCAUGGAUGAAGUUUGAUAUCUUCUCUACUAUGGGAUUAAGUGGAAGUGUUUGACACUCAGCUAUUAUAUUAAGGAUCCCCAAUGGCAAUUGGAAAGCACGGCUUCCUUUUGAGAAGCCACAUGAACACAUGUUAUCUUCUGAAUGGCUACAUAAAUUGGAAGGGCUAUACCAGGAAACUAAUAGUGAUUUUCUGGAUAGGGAGUGUCUCCAGAUGUUUGUUUAUCAUAUUUAUAUACCACCUGAUUUCCCAACAGUUGCCUUGCUGUCAAGCCAAAUUAUAAUCUUUUUAAAAAAGAAAUCUGUAUAAUUUAUAUAAGUACUAGCUGAACCUGCACAGAGCAUCUGUGUGCUAGGACUUUUUUCUCUCUUCUUGCCCCCGCCCCGCACAACCCCUGCUUUAUUGCUCAGUUUCAGCCACUCACUCUCAGCCUCCCCCUCCCUGCCACUCGCUUGCUCCCUGCUCGCUCAAUCACUUGCCCUCUCCCCAAUGCUCACUCACUCACCCCCUCUCUGAUGCUCACUCGCUCCCCUAUGCUUGCUUUCUCACUCACUCCCUUCUCGCUCGCUUGCUCACUCGCCCCCCCUGCUCACCCACUCACUCGCCCCUUGCCCACUUGCUCACCAACUUGCCUGCUCACUCACCCCCCUGCUCACUUGCUCAUCUCUCCCCACCACUUGUUCACUCGCUCACCCCUUCCCCAAUCACUCACUUGCCCCCUUCCCACUCACUCACUCAUGCCCUACCCACUCCUCCUCAGUAUAGAAGAGGGAAUAUAGAACUGCAUAUAAAAACCCCACUGCUCAAUCUCCACAGCGCUCCUGCUCUGUUACCUCCAAUUGGUAAAGUACUUUGUGGAUGGGGCUUGCCACGUACAUCCUUAGCAGGUGUGUGUGUGUAUACACACACACACACACACACACCACACACACAGAGUUGGAGAAAUAUAUAGUGCCAUCAAGUUGGUGUCGAUUCUUAGUGCCGACCACAUAGAUUCUCUCCAGGAUGAUCUGUCUUCAACUUGGCCUUUAAAGUCUCUCAGUGGUGCAUUCAUUGCUGUCAUAAUCAAGUCCAUCCACCAGGCUGCUGGUCACCUUCUUCUUCUCUUUCCUUCAACUUUUCCCAGCAUUAUGGACUUCUCAAGGGAGCUGGAUUUUUGCAUAAUGUCUCUGAAGUAUGAUAGUUUGAGCCUGGUCAUUUAUGCCUCGAGUGAAAAUUCUGUAUUGAUUUAUUCUGUGAUCCAUUUAUUUGUUUUCCUGACUAUCCUGGGUAUUCUCAAAAGUCUUCUCCAGCACCAAAGUUCAAAAGCAUAAAUGCUUUUUCUAUCUUGCUUCUUCAAAGUCCAGCUUUUGCAUCCAUAGAGUGUCACGGGAAAAACCAUUGUCUGAACAAUUCUAAUCUUUGUAGGUACAGACAAAAAUAUAUCUAUUAUAGAUAUAGAUAUACUGAAUCUUCUGAAAGGCAGCAGAAAUGCACUGGCCAUAGAACUCAGAGGAUGAUUAUUAGUUGGUUAUACAGUAAUGCUUAGAGAGUGCCCCAAGUUUCCAAAGUGAUGCUUUGGUGAGAAGUCAUAUAAACACCUUUUCCUGCUGAAUAGCUAUAGAAAUGAAUGGAAAGAAGACACUAAAUUGUUUUAACAAUUUAACAAAUUGUUUUGUUAAACAACAAACAAACCAAAUUGUUUUAACAAUUGCAAAAUUGUUUUAUGAAACCUACAGGACCCUCCUCCCAUCUAAUCAUAUAGCCACAUGAAUAAUAAGUUAGCCACAUAAUGGUUAAUGCAUGAGUGAAGUGUCACCUCAAGGUCCUGGAGAGGCCUUCAUGCUUACUGUGCCACCUCUCCCCCUGCCACUCCAAAUUCCAGUGGAAUUUUUUUCAGGAGAAUUGUAAGAUCUCAAAAACUGAAUAACAGCAAAGUUAUGUUGAGUGAAGUGCUGGAAGACCAGAGGUGAGCAAAUUCCCUGUCUUCAAGAAGUGUUCUGCCUAGUAUGACUUACACAUCAUGGCAACCUUCUUGCAGUGAGUGGAGCACAGCUGGGAAGUCUCACAAAGGUAAAGAGGAGUUCUGGUUUUUGGUGCAGCUGGUGGGUUGCAGGUAUGGACAACAAGGGGUUCAGAACAGGGUGGGCUCAGAAAGGAACAGGUCUGGAGAGUAGCUUGACAGAAAACACAGGUAGCUGGAAGAAACAGCACCAGGAGGCUUUACAGACAGGGCUUCUACCCCGAAUCUCCUUCAGAAGAGUGUGUGCAUGCACAUACCAGCCAAACUUACCCCGAAGUCCAUUCAAGAUCCUUGGACCCACUCCACAUACAUAUCAGGUUUUGAUAUUAUGGAGCCAGCAUGGUGUAGUGGUUAGAGUGCUGGACUGCAACCAGGGAGACCCAAGUUCAAAUCCCCAUUCAGCCAUAAUACUUGCUGGGUGACUCUGGGCCAGUCACUUCUCUCUCAGCCUAACCUACUUCACAGGGUGGUUGUGAGGAGAAACUUAAGUAUGUAGUACACCGCUCUGGGCUCCUUUAUAUCCUCUGGGCAGGAUAUAAAAUGUAAAUAAUAAUAAUAAAUAAUAUGUCUUGUGAAUACUAGCUUAUCUCUAGCUUAUCUCUGCUGCCUGUUACCUGUGCCCAGCAGAUGAGGAGACCACUUUCCGUCUACCAGCAGGAGGGCACAGGGUGGGAGACUGUGUCUGACAACUGGGUGCUGCUGCUCUGCUGCUCUUGCCACCAGCAGCCUAAGAGACUUUACCUGCCACCUCUGCCGGGUGUGUGCAUGUUGGUAGGACUGGGGCCCUUGGGCUAUAAGACUGAGCAGUCUUGGCUCCACCUGCCCACCCCUGGGCUAUUUAAGAAGGCUGCCAGUGGCGGUGGGCCCGCCACUGGUGGGUAGAUACCAAAGGGGGUCGCCCCUUUGGGGAGCCACUUUGGUGAGAAACAAGGGCGAGGGCCAUCCCCCCCUGGUUCGGUUCCUUUGGGCUGGGGCGGGGGGAAUGCAUCUGGCCUGGUAAGGAUUGUUUUCAUUAUUUUGAGUCUGUCUGGAGAUGGGGAUAUGGAGGGGCAUGUCCACUGAUCUCAGGGUGACUAUUUCAGUGGUGAUGGGGAAUAGAAGAAGUUACGUUGGCACGUCAGCAGGGGAAGGGAAAUCAGGGGAAGGGAAAUUACAGGGGAAGGGAAAUCAGAAACUUAAUAGCUGUUUCCCCUUCCGGCUGCCCUGUCAGCUCUUUGACCUCGGGGAGCAGUGCCAACUACUCACAGAGCCAUGCCUUGCUCCUCUUUAAUGCCAGGUCAGUCCAAAAUAAAUCUGAAGUAAUCCAUUAUUUGAUCAUGGAUGAAGGGGCUGACCUGGUGUGUAUUACAGAGACUGGGUUGGGGGAAGCUGGUGGCUGAGUUUGGGCCCAGCUUCUCCCUCCAGGAUACUCUGUUGAGGAGGAGGUGAGGGAAUGUGGGCGAGGAGGUGGAGUAGCUGUGGUCUUUAAGGAUAAUAUCUCCCUUACCAGAAUCCCUGUCAGAACAUCUGGUCUUAUCGAGUGUGUGUACUUGCGCUUGGGAACCAGAGAUAGAUUGGGACUCCUGUUGGUGUACCGAUCACCCCGCUGCCCAACAGAGUCCCUAACUGAGCUUGCGGACCUUUUUUUGGAUUUUGUGUUGGAGUGCCCCAGGCUUGUGGUGCUGGGGGACUUCCACGUCCACUUUGGGGCCGGGUUGUCUGGAGCAGCUCAGGAGUUCAUAGCGGCCAUGACAACCAUGGGCCUACUGCUGGUCACAUGCUUGAUCUGGUCUUUCACUCUGAUCAGGGUGGUGUUCCGUGGGCGGGGACUCCUUUGAUUUCCCCAUUGUAAUGGACGGACCACCAUCUGGUCAAGGUUGGACUUACAGUUACGUCCCACCUCUGCAGGGGUGAGGGGCCUAUUAUAAUGGCUCAUCCAAGAAGGUUAUUGGAUCCAAUACGAUUCCAGGAAGCCUUGGUUGGAUUUAAUGUUGGCUCAGCCGAUGAUCCUGUUGAUGCCUUGGUGGUGGAAAAUUGGAAUAAUAAACUUACCAGGGCAGUAGAUAUGAUCACUCCUAAGCGUCCUCUCUGACCCGCUUCAAAAAUGGCUCCUUGGUAUAUGGAAGAUCUGCAGGAACUGAAGAGGCAAGGUAGACAACUGGAACACAAGUGGAGGAAGACUCAACUUGAAUCUGACAGAUUACGACAUAGAGCACAUUUAAAGAUCUAUGCUCUGGCUAUACGUGCAGCAAAGAAGCAUUUCUUUUCUGCCCGUAUUGCUUCCACAAACUCAUGUCCAGCUGAGCUUUUUACGGUUGUGAGGGGACUAGUAGGACCCCAUGCUCCUUUGAAUCAAAAUUUGGAUCCAUCAGUUGCCCGCUAUGAUGCUUUUAAUGAGUUUUUCAUGGACAAAGUUUCUCGUAUUCGGGCUGAUUUAGAUCUCGACUCCACAGUUAGCGCAGUAUCAGAUGCAGCAGUAUCCAGCAACUCCUCUUGUGUGGUUAAACUGGAUCAGUUCCAGUUUGUGACUCCUGAGGAUGUGGACAAGCUGCAUGGAGUGGUGCGUCCUACCACCUAUCUACUUGAUUCUUGCCCAACGUGGCUUACACUAUAUGGCAGGGAGGUUGUUGUGGAGGGCCUGGUGGCAAUUAUUAAUGCCUCUCUGAGGGAGGGCAGGGUGUCCCCUUGUUUAAAGGAGGCAAUUAUUAGACCUAUUCUUAAGAAGACUAUCUUGGAUCUCUCAGAGUUUAAUAACUACAGGCCUGUCUCCAACCUCCCAUGGUUGGGUAAGGUGAUUUAGAAGGUGGUGGCCUCCCAGCUCCUGGCGGUCUUGGAAGAAACAUUUCAAACUGGCUUUUGGGUGGGCUACGGGGUGGAGACUCCCUUGGUCAGCAUGAUGGAUGAUCUCCAAUUAGGACUUGACAGAGGAAGUGUGACUCUGUUGGUCCUUUUGGAUCUCUCGGCAGCUUUCGAUACUAUCGACCAUAGUAUCCUUCUGGAACGUCUGAGGGAGUUGGGUGUAGGAGGCACUACUUUGUGGUGGUUCCGCUCCUAUCUCUUGGGCAGAUUCCAGAUGGUGUUGCUUGGAGACUGUUGCUCUUCAAAAUCUGAGCUUUUAUAUGGGGUCCCUCAGGGCUCCAUAUUGUCUCCAGUGCUUUUUAGCAUCUACAUGAAACUGCUGGGAGAGAUCAUCAGGGGAUUUGGAGCUGGGUGCUGUCAGUAUGCUAAUGACACCCAAAUCUAUUUCUCCAUGUCAACUUCAUCAGAAGAAGGCAUAUCCUCCCUGAAUGCCUGCCUGGAGGCGGUAAUGGGCUGGAUGAGGGGUAACAAACUGAGACUGAAUCCAGACAAGUCGGAAGUACCUGUUGUGCAGGGUCAUUACUUAGGAAAUGAUAUUGACCUGCCUGUUCUAGAUGGGGUCACACUUCCUCAGAAGGAACAGGUACGCAGUUUGGGAGUGCUUCUGGAUUCACGCCUCUCCCUGGAUUCUCAGGAUGAUGCAGUGGCCAGAAGUGCUUUUUAUCAGGUUCGGUUGAUACGCCAGCUGCGUCCGUUUCUUGAGAUUCAUGACCUCAGAACAGUAGUACAUUUGCUGGUAACCUCCAGACUUGAUUACUGCAAUGCUCUCUAUGUGGGGCUGCCUUUGUACGUAGUCCAGAAACUACAAUUAGUACAGAACGCGGCAGCCAGAUUGGUCUCCGGGUCAUCUCAAAGAGACCAUAUUACUCCUAUAUUACAGGAGUUACACUGGCUGCAAUAGGUUUCUGGGCAAAAUACAAAGUGCUGGUUAUAACAUAUAAAGCCCUAAACGGCUUAGGCCCACGGUAUUUAAGAGAGCAUCUUCUUCUGCACGAUCCCCAUCAUUCAAUGUGUUCAUCAGGAGAGGCUCGUCUGUGGCUACCUUCAAGUUGUUUGGUAGCCACUCAGGAAUGGGCCUUCUCCGUUGUCGCUCCAAGACUUUGGAAUGUGCUUCCUGCUGACAUAAGACUCUCCCCAUCUCAAGUGGUUUUUAAAAGAUUCUUGACUCAUUUUUUAACCAGGACUUUUAGCUUUUGUAAUUUUAAAAUUUUUUGUAAAUUGUUUUAGGCAGCUUUGGGGAGUUUUAAUUGAUUUUAAUGUUUUAUUUAUUUGUAUUGUUUUAUUAUUGUGAACCGCCCAAGACUUUGGUUUGGGGCGGUAUAAAAAUCUAUUAAAUAAAUAAAUAAAUAAAUAAAUAUCUCGA